CAGUAGCCGCGGUAAAACGAAGGGUGCAAGCGUUAAUCGGAAUUACUGGGCGUAAAGCGUGCGUAGGCGGUUUGUUAAGUCUGUUGUGAAAUCCCCGGGCUCAACCUGGGAAUGGCAAUGGAUACUGGCAAGCUAGAGUGUGUCAGAGGAUGGUGGAAUUCCCGGUGUAGCGGUGAAAUGCGUAGAGAUCGGGAGGAACAUCAGUGGCGAAGGCGGUCAUCUGGGACAACACUGACGCUGAGGCACGAAAGCGUGGGGAGCAAACAGGAUUAGAUACCCCCGUAGUCCCUGUCUCUUAUAC
This 301-nucleotide ribosomal RNA is filed under the name uncultured bacterium. RNAcentral describes it as "partial 16S ribosomal RNA". It matches the Rfam family "Bacterial small subunit ribosomal RNA", at positions 509 to 807 of the family's 1533-position model. The record is from RNAcentral.